This is an RNA transcript of Cucumis melo (muskmelon), 3359 nucleotides long. RefSeq lists it as uncharacterized. The transcript is spliced from 14 exons. NCBI's taxonomy places the organism in Eukaryota, Viridiplantae, Streptophyta, Magnoliopsida, Cucurbitales, Cucurbitaceae. The record is from RefSeq and is a predicted model, not a curated record.
UGUGCGUAUUAGGAUACUAAAAGUACAAGUCCGUUGCACCGCCGAAUGAGGGUUGCGUUAUUUUAGAUUUUUAGAAAGCUUCAAAAAAUGGCGCAUUGGUUAAAUGGCGGUAGAAAGUUUGCCGUCGUAAACCGCUGGGCGUAGUUCUUGAUCGGGGUUAGUUUCCUUUUCUGCUGACACAAUGGGGUCUUGCAACGAAGAAUCGGAAGAUGAACCUGGAGUCUCUGCCAUUAGGGCUCUCGGGUCUCUCUUUAAGUUGACCGAAGUCUUUCUCUGGGACGAUGAGACGGAAAUAGCUAGACGACUGGAAAGUCGUUUAGCACUUGAUGCUGAUGAUGCCAAUAACGAAAAACCCGUGGAGAAAAUCUGUUCUACAAUCAGUGGUAUCAGCUUAUUACCGGAGGAUAUCGAACUUACUGAACAGAUGAAUGCUUUGGGCCUUCCUCUUUCAUUCCACACAAACAAAGAACCAAAGAGAAUUGGAAUCACCAUGGGUAAAAGAAAAGCAACUGUCAAGCACUCUAGAAUUCAGCAAGGAUUUCUAGACAAAGAAGUGGAGUUUCCUAAAGCGAGCAUGAGGGAGGAGAUUAUAGCUAAUAAUACUUUCAACGAUGACGCAAUAGGUUCUCUAUGCUGCUAUUCUAUGGUGAAUCAAAGUGAGACUUCUGAUCGUGAUGUGGUGUUGGAUACCAAUGAAACCCAUGUCAUCUUUGAUGGAGAUAUUUCACGUAAUUCAAGUGGAGUUAUCAGUGGUGCUAUUGAAGAACAAUUUUGUGAUGUUACGUGUGAUAUUGUGCUGAACAAUGGGGGAGACCAUGAAUUAAGCUCAGAUGAUGCUGUGCUGGGGGAUCAUAUAAAAGUUAGAUCGAGUUCAAUUGGUUUAGAUAAGGAUCAUUCUUCAAGACUGUGUACCACAGGUCUUGAUGUUGGCCAUGGCAAGCAGGAGGAAGUUGAACCAUCUAUGGAGUCGGAAGGUUCUUCCACAACUUUCCAAGAUACUGAAGUGCAGAACAUUGACGUUGAUAGUGGCAUUGGACUACCAGAAGUAGCUGAACCAUGUCAUAUGGGAGCGGACUAUAAUGAAAAUGAUCAAGUUGUUGGAUGUAUUCAUGAAUCUGGAGACUGGAUGGUGUACUGGGAUUCUUUUUAUAUGAGAAACUACUUCUACAAUAUAAAGUCACAGGAGUCUACUUGGAAUCCUCCUUCAGGGUUGGAACAUUUUGCAUCAUCUGAUGCCAAUUUCACUCCUAAUGAAUCAAUUGCCGAAGUUCCCAAAAUGGAUGUAUUAGAAGAUGUAAAAUCAGAAGAUAUUUGUGGGGUGCUUGGUGAUACCAAGUGUAUGAACUUACUUGGCGAUAAUGUUCACUGCCAACCACCUGAUGCACUGUUGGAGGGCUCUAGUAGUUUAUUUGAGGGCUCCGAGAGUAGUGCAUUUGUCAAUACUUCAGUUAACUGCAAUAAGGAUGAACCUCAAGCGUGGCUGAUGAGUUGCAGAAAUACCAGGGAAAAUAUUGGACGCAGUUGUGAAGGUCAUGCCAAGCAAUCAUGUUGUGAGAAUUGCACCAACGGUUCCCAGCUCAUUGUUGCACAUGAUGCUUCUGAACAAAAGACAUUCAGCCAUCACAAACCUAGUAAUAUGCACUCACCCGGGAUAGAUUAUGUCACCAUAGACGACGAUGAAGGCACAGCAGGUUUAACUACUAGCGGUGUUUCUCUUAUGCUUCAGCAGGAAGAUCAUAUCGAUGGUGAUAUGCAUUUUGGAAAUGGACCUAUCAUUUGUACACUGGGUACCGAUCAAAAUCUUUCUGUAAGAUAUAGGAAAAAGAAAACGAAAAGAACACGCAGACGCGCACAAUUAUCUGAUAGAAAUGAAGAAUUUCGUUCUUUUGCAAUCACUGAAGAGUAUCCCACAAGUAUUACUAAGUAUUGGUGUCAGAGGUAUCAACUCUUCUCCAGAUUUGAUGAUGGUAUAAAAAUGGACAAAGAAGGAUGGUUUUCUGUAACUCCAGAGCCUAUAGCUAGGCAUCACGCCUCACGUUGUGGUAGCAAUAUGAUCAUUGACUCUUUCACUGGUGUUGGUGGAAAUGCCAUCCAGUUUUCCCAAAGGGCCAAACAUGUUAUUGCAAUUGAUAUUGAUCCAACAAAGAUUAGAUAUGCCCAACAUAAUGCUGCUAUAUAUGGUGUUGAAGAUCAAAUAGAUUUCCUAAAGGGGGACUUCUUCCGUUUAGCCCCACACCUCAAGAAUGUUGUUGGAUUCUACCUGCUGCAGGCUGACGUUAUAUUCUUAUCACCUCCUUGGGGUGGCCCUGAUUAUGCCAGAGUAGAUAUUUAUGACCUGACCAAGCUCAAACCACAUGAUGGGUAUUUUCUCUUUAAUGUUGCUAAGAAAAUUGCUCCCCUCAUUGUCAUGUUUCUUCCAAAAAAUGUUAAUCUCAACCAACUAGCGGAGCUGUCUCUUUCUUCUGAUCCUCCAUGGUCACUUGAGGUUGAGAAAAACUUUUUAAAUGGCAAGUUGAAGGCGAUUACUGCUUACUUUAGCAAUGACUCCAUGAACAAAAACAAUGUCACCUAAUGCGUGAUAUCAUAUACUCCUUUUGAGAUUCUCCAGCAAUUUGUGAUGGGUAAGGUAUAAAAUGAAGUUGGAUGUUUCAGUUUAUAGUUCUACCCUAAUGGGUAUAAGAUGCUUAAAUUAUUGGCUUGACGAAACAUUUUGGCGGACAUGGAGAAGAGGAAUAGUUCAUUGUACAGUCAACAAAACUCUUAUAAUUGAAUGUGUCAUUAUUCUCUCAUGGGUCGAUGUACCAAUAGCCCCAUUGUACAAACUACAAAGAUGGGAUAUUUUUGUAAGCUUCAGUUAGAUCAGAUAGAGACUAUUACAAAUACAAAGUUAUUUCCAGUGAAACGAGAAGGCCGUGAUGGUUCACGAGCCAACCAACUGCAUCCAAGGGAUUUGAAGGUAUUCCUUUACUAUCAAACCAAACCAAACCAAUGUCGAGUGCUCUAUUUCCGGUCAAACUUGGCAUGGCAUAUAAGUGGUGCAACAAUCAUUUAUGUUCGUUGGUUCUUCCAUUAUUAUGUAUAAAUGUUAGAUGAGAGAAUUAUAAUUUCGUUCUUCAAGAAAAAACAACAUAAGUUAAGUUGGUCUAGUACAAAAAAGAGAGUGACAAUUUCAAUAACUAGUUAAGAAGUCACGAGUUCAAUUUAUGGUGAUCAUCUAGAAUUUAAUAUCCUACGAGCUUUCUUGACAUACAAAUGUUAUAAGGUUAUAUAGGCUGUUUUGUAAGAUUAAUUGAGGUGCGUGAGCGGAUUUGGAUAAAAAAAAUUGUUCAGAAGAAAAAGGAAAAAUAAAAAGAAGGAAA